This 424-nucleotide ribosomal RNA is filed under the name uncultured Caryophanaceae bacterium. RNAcentral's name for it is "bacterial SSU rRNA". It matches the Rfam family "Bacterial small subunit ribosomal RNA", at positions 356 to 774 of the family's 1533-position model. Lineage: Bacteria; Bacillati; Bacillota; Bacilli; Caryophanales; Caryophanaceae. The record is from RNAcentral.
AGGGAAUCUUCUACAAUGGGCGAAAGCCUGAUGGACCACCGCGGCUGAAUGGAAGAGGGAUUCGGGUUGUAAAAACUCUGUGGUAGGGGAAAACAAAGACAGUAAGAACCUGCUGGUCCCUGACCGUUACCUUAUAGAAAGGCACGGCCAACUUACGGCCAGCACCGCGGUAAUACGUAGGUGGCAAGCGGUGUCCGGAAUUAUUGGGCGUAAAGCGCGCGCAGGUGGUUUCUUAAGUCUGAUGUGAAAGCCCACGGCUCAACCGUGGAGGGUCAUUGGAAACUGGGAGACUUGAGUGCAGAAGAGGAUAGUGGAAUUCCAAGUGUAGCGGUGAAAUGCGUAGAGAUUUGGAGGAACACCAGUGGCGAAGGCGACUAUCUGGUCUGUAACUGACACUGAGGCGCGAAAGCGUGGGGAGCAAACA